RNAcentral lists this ribosomal RNA (330 nucleotides) under uncultured eukaryote. Its description in RNAcentral is "partial 18S ribosomal RNA". It matches the Rfam family "Eukaryotic small subunit ribosomal RNA", at positions 1470 to 1796 of the family's 1831-position model. The record is from RNAcentral.
CCCUUAGAUGUUCGGGGCCGCACGCGCGCUACACUGAAGGAAUCAGCACGUCUUUCUCCUUGUCCGAAAGGACUGGGUAACCCGCUGAACCUCCUUCGUGCUAGGGAUUGGGGCUUAUAAUUCUUCCCCAUGAACGAGGAAUUCCCAGUAAGCGCGAGUCAUAAGCUCGCGUUGAUUACGUCCCUGCCCUUUGUACACACCGCCCGUCGCUACUACCGAUUGGAUGGUUUAGUGAGAUCCUCGGAUUGGUCCCGGCGCGGCCUCUGGUCGUGCCGGAGUGCCGAAAAGAAUGUCGAACUUGAUCAUCUAGAGGAAGUAAAAGUCGUAACA